This 278-nucleotide ribosomal RNA is filed under the name uncultured bacterium. RNAcentral describes it as "partial 16S ribosomal RNA". It matches the Rfam family "Bacterial small subunit ribosomal RNA", at positions 506 to 784 of the family's 1533-position model. The record is from RNAcentral.
UGCCAGCAGCCGCGGUAAUACGGAAGGUGCAAGCGUUAUCCGGAAUCACUGGGUUUAAAGGGUACGUAGGCGGUCUUAUAAGUCAGACGUCAAAGGCCAUGGCUAAACCAUGGUACGCGUUUGAAACUGUACGACUUGAAUAUGAUCGAGGUGCAUGGAAUGCUUCAUGUAGCGGUGAAAUGCAUAGAUAUGAAGUAGAACACCAAUUGCGAAGGCAGUGCACUAGGUUAUUACUGACGCUGAGGUACGAAAGCGUGGGUAGCGAACAGGAUUAGAUA